Molecule: ribosomal RNA, 324 nt
Filed under: Triticum aestivum (bread wheat)
Lineage: Eukaryota; Viridiplantae; Streptophyta; Magnoliopsida; Poales; Poaceae
Description: partial small subunit ribosomal RNA
Source: RNAcentral
AUGCGCAAUUUGAGUGCUUUCUGCAACUCCAUUUUGUCGAUAUUUGCUGCAAGACAUGAACGCCAAAUCUGUUUAUCUAACAUGUUCUGCAAGUUUUGUCGAGUGCUUUCCUGUGUUUUGUUAUCUAUGGUAUUUUUUAUCAUAUCUAAUAUCCAGCAUUAUACCAUGUCUCACAGUAUUGCUGAUUCUGCACAUACACAUACUUAUUUUACUUCUCUGACAUGCGGUGCAAAUUUUCUCUGGGUAUGCUUGUUCGUCCCCGCCAAAACCGGGCAAGGAACUGAGAGCUUGCACAUGCCAAUUUCUUAUAUUGUUUUCUCAUGA